UACGUAGGUGGCAAGCGUUGUUCGGAUUUAUUGGGCGUAAAGGGCAUGUAGGCGGUUAUAUAAGUGUGAAUUGAAAGGCAGAGGCUCAACCUCUUGUUUGGUUUGCAAACUGUAUGACUGGAGUGUAGAAGGGGAAACUGGAAUUCCGCGUGUAGGGGUGAAAUCUGUAGAUAUGCGGAAGAAUACUUGUGGCGAAGGCGAGUUUCUGGUCUAUAACUGACGCUGAAAUGCGAAAGUGUGGGGAGCAAACAGG
RNAcentral lists this ribosomal RNA (253 nucleotides) under uncultured bacterium. RNAcentral describes it as "partial 16S ribosomal RNA". It matches the Rfam family "Bacterial small subunit ribosomal RNA", at positions 524 to 776 of the family's 1533-position model. The record is from RNAcentral.